AGUGAACGCUGGCGGUAGGCCUAACACAUGCAAGUCGAACGGCAGCACAGUAAGAGCUUGCUCUUACGGGUGGCGAGUGGCGGACGGGUGAGGAAUACAUCGGAAUCUACUUUUUCGUGGGGGAUAACGUAGGGAAACUUACGCUAAUACCGCAUACGACCUACGGGUGAAAGCAGGGGAUCUUCGGACCUUGCGCGACUGAAUGAGCCGAUGUCGGAUUAGCUAGUUGGCGGGGUAAAGGCCCACCAAGGCGACGAUCCGUAGCUGGUCUGAGAGGAUGAUCAGCCACACUGGAACUGGGACACGGUCCAGACUCCUACGGGAGGCAGCAGUGGGGAAUAUUGGACAAUGGGCGCAAGCCUGAUCCAGCCAUACCGCGUGGGUGAAGAAGGCCUUCGGGUUGUAAAGCCCUUUUGUUGGGAAAGAAAAGCAGCAGGUUAAUACCCCGCUGUUCUGACGGUACCCAAAGAAUAAGCACCGGCUAACUUCGUG
Molecule: ribosomal RNA, 492 nt
Filed under: uncultured bacterium
Lineage: Bacteria
Description: partial 16S ribosomal RNA
Rfam family: Bacterial small subunit ribosomal RNA
Source: RNAcentral